Molecule: ribosomal RNA, 369 nt
Filed under: uncultured bacterium
Lineage: Bacteria
Description: bacterial SSU rRNA
Rfam family: Bacterial small subunit ribosomal RNA
Source: RNAcentral
GUAGGUGGCGAGCGUUGUCCGGAUUUAUUGGGUUUAAAGGGUGCGUAGGCGGCCCUAUAAGUCAGUGCUGAAAUAUCCCGGCUUAACCGGGAGGGUGGCAUUGAUACUGUAGGGCUUGAGUAAAGUUGAGGUUGGCGGAAUUGACGGUGUAGCGGUGAAAUGCUUAGAUAUCGUCAAGAACACCUAUUGCGAAGGCAGCUAACUAAGCUUUAACUGACGCUGAGGCACGAAAGUGUGGGGAUCAAACAGGAUUAGAUACCCUGGUAGUCCACACUGUAAACGUUGAUUACUCGCUGUUGGCGAUACACAGCCAGCGGCUAAGCGCAAGCGAUAAGUAAUCCACCUGGGGAGUACGCCGGCAACGGUGAA